UACGUAGGGGGCAAGCGUUGUCCGGAUUCAUUGGGCGGAAAGAGCGUGUAGGCGGCCAGGUAGGUCGGUUGUGAAAACUGGAGGCUCAACCUUCAGAGGUCGACCGAAACCCCCUGGCUAGAGUCCGGGAGAGGAGAGUGGAAUUCCUGGUGUAGCGGUGAAAUGCGCAGAUAUCAGGAAGAACACCCGUGGCGAAAGCGGCUCUCUGGAACGGUACUGACGCUGAGACGCGAAAGCGUGGGGAGCGAACAGG
RNAcentral lists this ribosomal RNA (253 nucleotides) under uncultured bacterium. RNAcentral's name for it is "partial 16S ribosomal RNA". It matches the Rfam family "Bacterial small subunit ribosomal RNA", at positions 524 to 776 of the family's 1533-position model. The record is from RNAcentral.